Molecule: small nucleolar RNA, 141 nt
Organism: Podarcis muralis (Common wall lizard)
Lineage: Eukaryota; Metazoa; Chordata; Lepidosauria; Squamata; Lacertidae
Product: small nucleolar RNA SNORA57
Source: Ensembl
CCUCCUUUUCUUGGCAGGCCCGGGUCUCCCAGUGCCCGGCUCUGUAAUGUCCGGAGGUACAGGAAUGCCCACCCAGUGUUCUGUCUUCGGUGCCAGCGGCUUUGCCAUCUGCUGGUUCUAUCCUCAAGCACUGGGACAGAA